Molecule: ribosomal RNA, 1336 nt
Filed under: metagenome
Description: bacterial LSU rRNA
Rfam family: Bacterial large subunit ribosomal RNA
Source: RNAcentral
CCUGCUUCCAGGAAAAGCCUCUAAGCUUCAGUCAUAGAGUGACCGUACCGCAAACCGACACAGGUGGGCUGGUAGAGAAUACCAAGGCGCUUGAGAGAACUCAGGAGAAGGAACUCGGCAAAUUGAUACCGUAACUUCGGGAGAAGGUAUGCCCCGUUAGCUUGUAGGAGUACAUCCGAAGGGCGAAGGGGCCGCAGAGAAUCGGUGGCUGCGACUGUUUAUUAAAAACACAGCACUGUGGAAACACGAAAGUGGACGUAUACGGUGUGACGCCUGCCCGGUGCCGGAAGGUUAAGUGAUGGGGUGCAAGCUCUUGAUCGAAGCCCCGGUAAACGGCGGCCGUAACAAUAACGGUCCUAAGGUAGCGAAAUUCCUUGUCGGGUAAGUUCCGACCUGCACGAAUGGCGUAACGAUGGCCACACUGUCUCCUCCUGAGACUCAGCGAAGUUGAAAUGUUUGUGAAGAUGCAAUCUACCCGCGGCUAGACGGAAAGACCCCAUGAACCUUUACUGUAGCUUUGCAUUGGACUUUGACGGGAUUUGUGUAGGAUAGGUGGGAGGCUAUGAAACCAGGACGCUAGUUCGGGUGGAGCCAACCUUGAAAUACCACCCUGGUGUCGUCGAGGUUCUAACCCAGGUCUGUGAAUCCAGAUCGGGGACCGUGCAUGGUGGGCAGUUUGACUGGGGCGGUCUCCUCCUAAAGCGUAACGGAGGAGUACGAAGGUCACCUAGGUACGGUCGGACAUCGUACUGAUAGUGCAAUGGCAAAAGGUGGCUUGACUGCGAGACCCACAAGUCGAGCAGGUGCGAAAGCAGGUCAUAGUGAUCCGGUGGUUCUGUAUGGAAGGGCCAUCGCUCAACGGAUAAAAGGUACUCUGGGGAUAACAGGCUGAUUCCGCCCAAGAGUUCACAUCGACGGCGGAGUUUGGCACCUCGAUGUCGGCUCAUCACAUCCUGGGGCUGUAGCCGGUCCCAAGGGUAUGGCUGUUCGCCAUUUAAAGUGGUACGUGAGCUGGGUUUAAAACGUCGUGAGACAGUUUGGUCCCUAUCUGCCGUGGGCGCUGGAAGUUUGAGAGGGCUUGCUCCUAGUACGAGAGGACCGGAGUGAACGCACCCCUGGUGUACCGGUUGUGACGCCAGUCGCAUCGCCGGGUAGCUAUGUGCGGAAGAGAUAACCGCUGAAAGCAUCUAAGCGGGAAACUCGCCUCAAGAUGAGACUUCCCCGGGGCCUCGAGCCCCCUGAAGGGUCGUUGAAGACCACAACGUUGAUAGGUCGGGUGUGGAAGCGUGGCAACACGUUAAGCUAACCGAUACUAAUUGCCCGUGUGGCUUGAUCC